UCUCCAUCCAGCUUACUGGGUUAUAGGCAGGCUGAUCUAUAGUCCUGAAGCAAAGAAGAAGCUGUACACCAAAAGCUGGAAAAGUGGCUUAUAUUUUAAGAGGAAUGCUCCAAACCAGAAGGGUUGAGAAGAGGAUCUGACAAGGGACAACCAGCAGACCCUGUGGGUAGAGAGCGGCAAACUAUCUAUGCAAGAGAACAGAAGUGGAAGCAGUGACCCUGGGAGGUCCUGCUGCUGUCCCAGAUCCCACCCAGGGUAACACAGCCCAUGGAGUACAAAUUAUGUGUAGAGGGCGUUCAUGUGGAAAAUCUGUAUGGUUAAAGCAUUCUGGCAAACCACAGUUCCUGCUGGGUGAGUUAAGAGUCUGUCUUGAAGGAAUGAGGGAUUCAAAACUCCCCAUGCAGACUCACCACAGAGAUGAGAACUUCUACAGUUUCUUACCCCAGAGGCUUCUCAAACUUUGAGGCUCAUCUCAGAUCCUGGUUGAACUAGAUACACAACGGCCAGGCUAAUCUGCUUGUGGUGGAGGGUCCAUUGUUCAGCCUGCCAUCCUUAUCACCCGCUCUCGCCAGAAAAGAAGCCCAGGCUGGAUGCUGGUGACAGCCCUCUUCAAGUGUGGGUCUUGCUGAGACUGUGAGAAGCCUUAUGCUGCAGAAAGCCCCCAGGAAGACGGGAAACAGCCGUGGCUAUGAAUCACCGCAGAAACAAAUGAUUUGCUACGGGUAAAUUUGUGGAAAUGGCAUGGCACUGGAAAGUGUGACAAAGACUUUUAUCCCAGAGCAACAGAAAGCCUCACAGCACUCCCACUUCUCUUUUUCCAUGCCAUCUUGUAUGUUAAUUAUUGCUCUGGGUGUGGAUACUCCAUGUCUGUAAUAAAUCAGUCUAAACAA
Long non-coding RNA from Catharus ustulatus (Swainson's thrush), 890 nucleotides. RefSeq lists it as uncharacterized. The transcript has 5 exons. The record is from RefSeq and is a predicted model, not a curated record. NCBI's taxonomy places the organism in Eukaryota, Metazoa, Chordata, Aves, Passeriformes, Turdidae.